UUUCUUGCUUUGUCUGUCAAAGCUUAAAUUUUUUUGUGUUCUUGAGCCUUCUCCGACGUGCUUCCCCGCCAUUUUCGAUUUUUAUCUCCAAACUCCAUGAAUACAAGUUUGUUUUCUUGCUUCGUUUUCCCCGUCUUCUUCUAUGUUUUCUUUUUUUACCUCUAUUUGCAUUUGUAUGCAUUUUUUAUUUUGGUUUUUUGUUUUUUCACUACAUGUUCAUUGUUUCUUCUAAAGUUGCGGUUUUUAUCUCAGAAAGCUUCGAUUUUUAUCCCCAAACUCCAUGAAUACAGGUUCGUUUUCUUGCUUUGUCUGUCAAAGCUUAAAAUUUUUUUGUGUUCCUGAACCUUCUCCGAUGUGCUUCCCCCGCCAUUUUCGAUUUUUAUCUCCAAACUCCAAGAAUACAGGUUCAUUUUCUUGCUUCGUUUUCCCUCCCCGUCUUCUUCUAUGUUUUCUUUUUUUACCUCUAUUUGCAUUUGUAUGCGUUUUUUUAUUUCGGUAUUUUGUUUUUCAUUGCAUGUUCAUUGUUUCUUCUAAAGCUGCGAUUUUUAUCUCAGAAAGCUUCGAUUUUUAUCUCCAAACUCCAUGUACACAGUUGAAUUUCUCGGAAACGGACGCCAUUCAUAGGUAUCAGAUGAACAUAGUUGGAUUGUCGUUGUUCUACCUUAAUGGCACAAUAUGGAAAAACAUGAAUCUUUGUGUUGCAUUCGCUACCUAUUUUUAUCUUUUUUGUGUUCCAUGUUUGUGUUCCUUUCUUUACCGUGUUCAUCUAUGUAUUACUUGCAAAAAAUGACGUUUAUUACUAUGAUUAACUUUGAGGUUCACAAGUGAUCUUGAAUCUUCUUUAAUUUUGUUCUUAUCAUGGUAACUUAUCAAC
This is a long non-coding RNA of Glycine soja, 874 nucleotides long. RefSeq lists it as uncharacterized. The transcript is spliced from 2 exons. Lineage: Eukaryota; Viridiplantae; Streptophyta; Magnoliopsida; Fabales; Fabaceae. The record is from RefSeq and is a predicted model, not a curated record.